This 390-nucleotide ribosomal RNA is filed under the name Triticum aestivum (bread wheat). RNAcentral's name for it is "partial small subunit ribosomal RNA". Lineage: Eukaryota; Viridiplantae; Streptophyta; Magnoliopsida; Poales; Poaceae. The record is from RNAcentral.
AUGGGGAGAGUGAUGAUGCUCUGUCGGCGGGCGGACAAAGUUGUUGUGCAGGAGCUUAUUCGUAUGCUUGAUGCGUGCAACCCAUUGGUGCAGAAGUUUAGGCUUGCCCGUGACAGGCUGUUAGAAUCUGGUGCUACUUCUGUCGCUAUUAAGUUUUAUGGUGACGAGGGAGGCUCUCAUGGAACCCGGUAUUCAGGGCCGACUAUGUCUGAGGUUGCUGCGCUUGUGGUUGGUGAUCUGACUCCAGAGGUUGCUCGCUUUGAUAUUGUUGUGAAGGCUGAAAAUGGUCCGCUUCAACACGUUUCUCCCUUGAACGCAAAUGUGAUGUCUUUACAGUAUCCUUUGUUGUUCCCGUAUGGCGACAAGGCUUUUUACCUUGGUAUCAAGUAA